GCUAUAUCACCCUGUAGCCCAAGACUAAUCACCAACUGAAGCUAAGCAGGGUUGAGCCUGGUCAGUACCUGGAUGGGAGACCUCCUGGGAAAACUAGGUUGC
Molecule: ribosomal RNA, 102 nt
Filed under: Sinocyclocheilus anshuiensis
Lineage: Eukaryota; Metazoa; Chordata; Actinopteri; Cypriniformes; Cyprinidae
Source: RNAcentral